UGGCGGACGGGUGAGUAACGCGUGGGUAACCUGCCUCAUACAGGGGGAUAACAGUUAGAAAAUGGCUGCUAAUACCGCAUAAGACCACAGCACCGCAUGGUGCAGGGGUAAAAACUCCGGUGGUAUGAGAUGGACCCGCGUCUGAUUAGGUAGUUGGUGGGGUAACGGCCUACCAAGCCGACGAUCAGUAGCCGACCUGAGAGGGUGACCGGCCACAUUGGGACUGAGACACGGCCCAG
Molecule: ribosomal RNA, 239 nt
Filed under: uncultured bacterium
Lineage: Bacteria
Description: partial 16S ribosomal RNA
Rfam family: Bacterial small subunit ribosomal RNA
Source: RNAcentral